RNAcentral lists this ribosomal RNA (444 nucleotides) under uncultured bacterium. Its description in RNAcentral is "bacterial SSU rRNA". It matches the Rfam family "Bacterial small subunit ribosomal RNA", at positions 29 to 507 of the family's 1533-position model. The record is from RNAcentral.
AACGAACGCUGGCGGCAUGCCUAACACAUGCAAGUCGAACGAUAAGCCACCUUCGGGUGGUGGACAGUGGCGCACGGGUGAGUAACACGUGGGGACCUGCCUGAUAGUACGGAAAAACAGUUGGAAACGACUGCUAAUACCGUAUACGCCCGUUCGGGGGAAAGAUUUAUCGCUAUCAGAUGGACCCGCGCUAGAUUAGAUAGUUGGUGAGGUAAUGGCUCACCAAGUCGACGAUCUAUAGCUGGUUUGAGAAGAUGAUCAGCCACAUUGGGACUGAGACACGGCCCAGACUCCUACGGGAGGCAGCAGUGGGGAAUAUUGUACAAUGGGCGCAAGCCUGAUACAGCAAUGCCGCGUGAGUGAAGACGGCCUUAGGGUUGUAAAACUCUUUCGCCAGGGAAGAUAAUGACGGUACCUGGUAAAGAAGUCCCGGCUAACUCCGUG